GCCGGGCAUGGUGGCUCACGCCUGUAAUCCCAGCACUUUGGGAGGCUGAGGUGGGGGGAUCACCUGAGGUCAGGAGUUCAAGACCAGCCUGGCCAAUAUGGUGGAACCCCAUCUCUA
Molecule: non-coding RNA, 117 nt
Organism: Pan troglodytes (chimpanzee)
Lineage: Eukaryota; Metazoa; Chordata; Mammalia; Primates; Hominidae
Rfam family: Metazoan signal recognition particle RNA
About the family: The signal recognition particle (SRP) is a universally conserved ribonucleoprotein. It is involved in the co-translational targeting of proteins to membranes.
Source: Rfam